UCGUGAGUCGUCGCUGGCCUGAUGCCAUCGCGACGCGCUUCGCCCGGCUGCAUAUGAGCCGGGCGGAGUUUCAUCAGAAAAAAGGAA
Molecule: regulatory RNA element, 87 nt
Organism: Pseudomonas fulva 12-X
Lineage: Bacteria; Pseudomonadati; Pseudomonadota; Gammaproteobacteria; Pseudomonadales; Pseudomonadaceae
Rfam family: gyrA RNA
Source: Rfam